Molecule: long non-coding RNA, 481 nt
Organism: Ostrea edulis (European flat oyster)
Lineage: Eukaryota; Metazoa; Mollusca; Bivalvia; Ostreida; Ostreidae
Exons: 3
Source: RefSeq, a predicted model, not a curated record
AACGAUGUCAAAGGGACUUUACCGAUCUUUCCCCCCCGAUCUAUAAAUAGGUCGGUAGAAUACAUGAUCAUCUGUCUUCGUUGUACUUGUGCAUAUUACCAAUAGAAUCCAAAAUGGAAGGCAGAUCCACUCAUCAAAAAGACUCGGAUAUCCAGUCCGAUCGAGGGACGGUACCGCCGUCCAGCAUUGAAGCAAGUCGUGCAGACUAUUCGUCGGGCCCAGACAGAGGGACAAGAGAACCAUCAAAUACAGGGAAUCCUCAUGCAGAUCCUAAACCCAAGCCACCCCCUCCUCCGAAUGUGCCUACAUAAUAUGUUAUAGUGCUGGUUGAUGCAUGCAUGUGUUGAAGCCAGAGAAAGAGCAUUUCAAGACAAAACUAAGAAAGAGUUGACGAUUGAGAAACUGAAAUCACGCCGUUUGUCAUAAAGUUGAGUUGUUAUUUUGCUGUUAAUAUCUAUUUUCAAUAAAUUAUCUAAGUAUG